CUUUGGGGUGUGACUGCGUACCUUUUGUAUAAUGGGUCAGCGACUUAUAUUCUGUAGCAAGGUUAACCGUAUAGGGGAGCCGGAGGGAAACCGAGUCUUAACCGGGCGUUAAGUUGCAGGGUAUAGACCCGAAACCCGGUGAUCUAGCCAUGGGCAGGUUGAAGGUUGGGUAACACUAACUGGAGGACCGAACCGACUAAUGUUGAAAAAUUAGCGGAUGACCUGUGGCUGGGGGUGAAAGGCCAAUCAAACCGGGAGAUAGCUGGUUCUCCCCGAAAGCUAUUUAGGUAGCGCCUCGUGAAUUCAUCUCCGGGGGUAGAGCACUGUUUCGGCUAGGGGGCCAUCCCGGCUUACCAACCCGAUGCAAACUGCGAAUACCGGAGAAUGUUAUCACGGGAGACACACGGCGGGUGCUAACGUCCGUCGUGAAGAGGGAAACAACCCAGACCGCCAGCUAAGGUCCCAAAGUCAUGGUUAAGUGGGAAACGAUGUGGGAAGGCCCAGACAGCCAGGAUGUUGGCUUAGAAGCAGCCAUCAUUUAAAGAAAGCGUAAUAGCUCACUGGUCGAGUCGGCCUGCGCGGAAGAUGUAACGGGGCUAAACCAUGCACCGAAGCUGCGGCAGCGACGCUGAUGCGUUGUUGGGUAGGGGAGCGUUCUGUAAGCCUGCGAAGGUGGCCUGUGAGGGUUGCUGGAGGUAUCAGAAGUGCGAAUGCUGACAUAAGUAACGAUAAAGCGGGUGAAAAGCCCGCUCGCCGGAAGACCAAGGGUUCCUGUCCAACGUUAAUCGGGGCAGGGUGAGUCGACCCCUAAGGCGAGGCCGAAAGGCGUAGUCGAUGGGAAACGGGUUAAUAUUCCCGUACUUGGUGUUACUGCGAAGGGGGGACGGAGAAGGCUAUGUUGGCCGGGCGACGGUUGUCCCGGUUUAAGCGUGUAGGUGUGUGUUCCAGGUAAAUCCGGUUCACUUUAACACUGAGGCGUGAUGACGAGGCACUACGGUGCUGAAGCAACAAAUGCCCUGCUUCCAGGAAAAGCCUCUAAGCAUCAGGUAACAUCAAAUCGUACCCCAAACCGACACAGGUGGUCAGGUAGAGAAUACCAAGGCGCUUGAGAGAACUCGGGUGAAGGAACUAGGCAAAAUGGUGCCGUAACUUCGGGAGAAGGCACGCUGACACGUAGGUGAAGUGAUUUACUCAUGGAGCUGAAGUCAGUCGAAGAUACCAGCUGGCUGCAACUGUUUAUUAAAAACACAGCACUGUGCAAACACGAAAGUGGACGUAUACGGUGUGACGCCUGCCCGGUGCCGGAAGGUUAAUUGAUGGGGUCAGCGCAAGCGAAGCUCCUGAUCGAAGCCCCGGUAAACGGCGGCCGUAACUAUAACGGUCCUAAGGUAGCGAAAUUCCUUGUCGGGUAAGUUCCGACCUGCACGAAUGGCGUAAUGAUGGCCAGGCUGUCUCCACCCGAGACUCAGUGAAAUUGAACUCGCUGUGAAGAUGCAGUGUACCCGCGGCAAGACGGAAAGACCCCGUGAACCUUUACUAUAGCUUGACACUGAACAUUGAGCCUUGAUGUGUAGGAUAGGUGGGAGGCUUUGAAGUGUGGACGCCAGUCUGCAUGGAGCCGACCUUGAAAUACCACCCUUUAAUGUUUGAUGUUCUAACGUGGACCCGUGAUCCGGGUUGCGGACAGUGUCUGGUGGGUAGUUUGACUGGGGCGGUCUCCUCCUAAAGAGUAACGGAGGAGCACGAAGGUUGGCUAAUCCUGGUCGGACAUCAGGAGGUUAGUGCAAUGGCAUAAGCCAGCUUGACUGCGAGCGUGACGGCGCGAGCAGGUGCGAAAGCAGGUCAUAGUGAUCCGGUGGUUCUGAAUGGAAGGGCCAUCGCUCAACGGAUAAAAGGUACUCCGGGGAUAACAGGCUGAUACCGCCCAAGAGUUCAUAUCGACGGCGGUGUUUGGCACCUCGAUGUCGGCUCAUCACAUCCUGGGGCUGAAGUAGGUCCCAAGGGUAUGGCUGUUCGCCAUUUAAAGUGGUACGCGAGCUGGGUUUAGAACGUCGUGAGACAGUUCGGUCCCUAUCUGCCGUGGGCGCUGGAGAACUGAGGGGGGCUGCUCCUAGUACGAGAGGACCGGAGUGGACGCAUCACUGGUGUUCGGGUUGUCAUGCCAAUGGCACUGCCCGGUAGCUAAAUGCGGAAGAGAUAAGUGCUGAAAGCAUCUAAGCACGAAACUUGCCCCGAGAUGAGUUCUCCCUGAGACUUUAGGUCUCCUGAAGGAACGUUGAAGACGACGACGUUGAUAGGCCGGGUGUGUAAGCGCAGCGAUGCGUUGAGCUAACCGGUACUAAUGAACCGUGAGGCUUAACCUUACA
This 2366-nucleotide ribosomal RNA is filed under the name Salmonella enterica. RNAcentral describes it as "partial 23S ribosomal RNA". It matches the Rfam family "Bacterial large subunit ribosomal RNA", at positions 583 to 2925 of the family's 2925-position model. The record is from RNAcentral. Lineage: Bacteria; Pseudomonadati; Pseudomonadota; Gammaproteobacteria; Enterobacterales; Enterobacteriaceae. RNAcentral also lists the same sequence under 1 other name.